UGGUACGAAGAAAGAGAACGUACCCGAUUCCGAUUCUCAUGUUCCCUCGUCAAACAUGUUCCAUUCUCUGGUUGAGGUUUGUCAAAUUGCAAAUAUUGACAGUAGCGAAGUUGAAGUUAGAUGACAAGUGACAACCCUAUGAUGGAAUUGGCAGUAGUUAUCAGCCCUUGUUUAUUGACAGUAGUUAUUUUAAUUUGCUCAUGUUAUUUUUGGAAAAUUGUGUAAAACUAGGCAUAUUGAAUUUUUGUUAAAUAUGAUGGUUAUUUACUUGUAAUGCUGUACUUUAGGAAUAGUGGAAAGACAUGGAUGCCUGAUUUUGAUUAUGAAUUGAAAUAUGAUAUCAAGGAAUAUAUCUCUUAUAUAAAAUUUUAAAUUAGUUCCACAAUACCAUGAUGAUCUGUAUCUUUUAAUAUUUAAAUUUGCAGCAUAGCAAGUGAUAUUGAUGUUAAGGCACAACUAAGCUUACUGGUUUUUAAUUUUUUGUUAUGAGCUUCUCUUUUUUUGUUGAUUAGUUAGUUUAUAAUAUUUUUUUGAAUAUAUAUUUUGAUCAUUGUCUCCCACAAUUUGUCCCCCUUCGUGAUCGACAGAUUCUCUUCAUUCUCUAGUUGAAUUUUAAUCACUAAUUAAGAUUCUAUUCAGUUUCCUCGCUGAUUCCGUCCCAUUCUCCAGUUGAGGAUAAAAUUUGGGAGUGAUAAGGUUUGAGUUCUGCAAUGAGCCUAGUGUUCACUAGUUUUUUCAAUUGUCAAUUGCAAAUGACGGGGUCAAUAGUUUCUUCAAUGCAAAAUUUUCUUCAUAAAAGUUUCUCUAACAAACCGCUGUUGUACUUUUUCAUCCCGACAAAAGCUUUGCGUCUACUCAGCUUCAAUUUCAAUCUUCUUGAUUUUGUUUGGAUCAAUACUACAAAAGUUCAAUUGAAUUAUCAGUGCAAGUUCGUUCUAUGAUGAACCAAGUUUUGCAUAUUGAAGGGCUAAAUUUGAAGGUCAUUAGAAGAAAGUAAACAUCUACAUAGUACUUCACCAACCAAGCCAAAGGUGGUCGUAUUGCAUCUCGCAGUCAUGUGAUAAAUGUAGAAGAAUACUUUGUUGAUAUUGGAAUCCCUGUUUUAUAUCGCAUAAGAAUUUGCCCAUUCUGUUUAAAGGUGCAGAGGAAUUCAAAGGCAUUUUUAAUCUGUUAGUAUGAGGUUCAAUUGAAUUAUCAGUGCAAGUUCGUUCUAUGAUGAACCAAGUUUUGCAUAUUGGCGUGCUAAAUUUGAAGAUCAUUAGAAGAAAGUAAACAUACUAGUGAUAACUUAAUCUUAGUCUUGGUUCGGUUUUGGAUAUUGAUUAUGUAUUCUUUUUAUAAGUAUUUGGUAAUACUUAAAUAUAUUAUGUUCAUAUUGUUGUGUGCAUUUUUAAUUUUUUUGUGUAUAUACUAUUUUUGAGGUAUUAAAAUAGAUUUAAAAA
Long non-coding RNA from Trifolium pratense (red clover), 1442 nucleotides. RefSeq lists it as uncharacterized. The transcript has 8 exons. The record is from RefSeq and is a predicted model, not a curated record. Lineage: Eukaryota; Viridiplantae; Streptophyta; Magnoliopsida; Fabales; Fabaceae.